Molecule: ribosomal RNA, 443 nt
Filed under: uncultured bacterium
Lineage: Bacteria
Description: partial 16S ribosomal RNA
Rfam family: Bacterial small subunit ribosomal RNA
Source: RNAcentral
CCUACGGGGGGCAGCAGUGGGGAAUAUUGGGCAAUGGAGGCAACUCUGACCCAGCAACGCCGCGUGAAUGAUGAAGGUCUUCGGAUUGUAAAGUUCUGUGAUGGGGGAUGAACACAAUGACGGUACCACAAUAGCAAGCCACGGCUAACUACGUGCCAGCAGCCGCGGAAAUACGUAGGUUGCAAGCGUUAUCCGGAAUGACUGGGCGUAAGGGGUGCGUAGGUGGUCUAGUAAGUUGGCGGUGUAAUUCCGGGGCUCAACCUCGGCGCUACCGCCAAAACUAUUAGACUAGAGUGCAGGAGAGGUAAGUAGAAUUCCUGGUGUAGCGGUGAAAUGCGUAGAUAUUAGGAGGAAUAUCGGGGGCGAAGGCGACUCACUGGACUGUAACUGACACUGAGGCACGAAAGCGUGGGGAGCAAACAGGAUUAGAUACCCGUGUAGUC